UACGGGGGGGGCAAGCGUUGUUCGGAAUUACUGGGCGUAAAGGGCUCGUAGGCGGCCAACUAAGUCAGACGUGAAAUCCCUCGGCUUAACCGGGGAACUGCAUCUGAUACUGGAUGGCUUGAGUUCGGGAGAGGGAUGCGGAAUUCCAGGUGUAGCGGUGAAAUGCGUAGAUAUCUGGAGGAACACCGGUGGCGGAAGGCGGCGAUCCUGGACCGACACUGACGCUGAGGAGCGAAAGCCAGGGGAGCAAACGGG
RNAcentral lists this ribosomal RNA (255 nucleotides) under uncultured bacterium. RNAcentral describes it as "partial 16S ribosomal RNA". It matches the Rfam family "Bacterial small subunit ribosomal RNA", at positions 524 to 776 of the family's 1533-position model. The record is from RNAcentral.